GAUGAAGAACGUAGCGAAAUGCGAUAAGUAAUGUGAAUUGCAGAAUUCGGUGAAUCAUCGAAUCUUUGAACGCACCUUGCGCCCUUUGGCUAUUCCGAAGGGCAUGCCUGUUUGAGUAUCGUGAACACCUCAACUCUCAUGGUUUGCCAUGAUGAGCUUGGACUUUGGGGGUUUUGCUGGCCUUUGGUCGGCUCCUCUCAAACGGAUCAGCUUUCCAGUGUUUGGUGGCGUCACGGGUGUGAUAACUAUCUACGCCUGUGGUUUUCUGCCAGAUAACCUUCAGCGAUGGAGGUUCGCUGGGGCUCAUAAAUGUCUCUCUUCAGUGGAGACAGCUUUUUGGACGUUUGAUCUCAAAUCAGGUAGGACUACCCGCUGAACUUAAGCAUAUCAAUAAGCGGAGG
Molecule: unclassified non-coding RNA, 401 nt
Filed under: soil metagenome
Description: partial contains 5.8S ribosomal RNA, internal transcribed spacer 2, and large subunit ribosomal RNA
Rfam family: 5.8S ribosomal RNA (bases 1-121)
Source: RNAcentral